CCCCUCUCAGGAUUGCACCUGGAGUGUUUCCAGAACUCUACCAGUCUCGGUUAUGGGAGGGAGAGUCAAGAAGAGGCAUAUCCAUUCUAUUCCUAGCUUGGGCAGGGGCUAAUGAGUGGAAGGCAAUCUGCUACAAAU
This 138-nucleotide small nucleolar RNA is filed under the name Ornithorhynchus anatinus (platypus). Lineage: Eukaryota; Metazoa; Chordata; Mammalia; Monotremata; Ornithorhynchidae. The record is from RNAcentral.